This 1032-nucleotide long non-coding RNA is filed under the name Diabrotica virgifera virgifera (western corn rootworm). RNAcentral describes it as "uncharacterized LOC126893325". Lineage: Eukaryota; Metazoa; Arthropoda; Insecta; Coleoptera; Chrysomelidae. The record is from RNAcentral.
UAACAACACACAACAUUCCAGGAAUGUACUACCAAAGUUCUAUCAAUAUUUGAAUGUCCUGGACAUUUAGGGAACAUUCGGUGAACAUCUGAUUAAAUUAUUCGUGGAAUGUUACCAUAAGACAUUCUGUGAACAUACUACCAAUGUUCCUGUUCAUUUUCAAAUUCACGGCGCAUGUAUUUGUGCAUGGUGCUUAGAGAGGGCAUCACGUGACUAAAAACGACCAAUGACCUCACUUCAGACUUCGGUUCGGCCAUCUUGACAUGCAUCUUGCCUUGGCCACCUUGCCGUGCGUGAUCGUUGUUUGUUUUUAUUUGUGCUUUUUAAGAAUAUUUUUUAAUUCGGAUACUUUUAUAAUAACUUUAAUAGUAUUAUUAAUAUAGUGCAUAAAAUCAGUUGGAGUAGCAGAAGCAAUGUAGAUAAAAAAUCUGCAGGAAUAAUGUUUCAAAGCUUUCCAGAAGAUCCUGCGAAGAAGGCAUGAAGUAUUGAUCAGAUUUGUUAAUAGAGCAGUAUGUUCAAAACAUUUUUUAGAAAAAGAUAUUGACAGAACUUCACUUUCAACCGUUUGAGAGACUGUGCUGUUCCAAUAGCUUAUAUCACACAGAAUCAGCUGAGAGAAGUGGUCUACAAAAAACCAGGAAGGAAAUGGAAUAUGUGGCUAUGAAAGGCAAAAGAAAGGUUUACAAAGCAAAUGUGACACAUUUUUUUAUAGGAAUAUCAGUAAAUUACAUUAAAAAAAUGUAUGAAAAGAUUUUUUGCAAUAAAAAUGUUUAUAUUUAUCAAGCAUGCAUUAUUUGGUAUGGCCACAUAUCGUCAGUGAUGUGACAAUACCUCCUAUCUGUUUUUUCAUGAGAUUUGUAAGAUAGACUAAAAACUUGUUUGGGCCACCUCCUGUUUUCAUAUAUUUUUUGACUUGUUUUGCAGUAAAUUUAACUAUCUAUUUACUACAAAACAAGCCAGAACUUACGUAUGCAAACAGGAGGUGACCUUAAAAAAUGUUUUUCGUCUCCUGCAAACCUCAUGAAAAAAGAU